RNAcentral lists this ribosomal RNA (497 nucleotides) under uncultured bacterium. RNAcentral's name for it is "partial 16S ribosomal RNA". It matches the Rfam family "Bacterial small subunit ribosomal RNA", at positions 28 to 507 of the family's 1533-position model. The record is from RNAcentral.
GAUGAACGCUGGCGGCGUGCCUAAUACAUGCAAGUCGAGCGAACGGACGAGAAGCUUGCUUUUCUGAUGUUAGCGGCGGACGGGUGAGUAACACGUGGAUAACCUACCUAUAAGACUGGGAUAACUUCGGGAAACCGGAGCUAAUACCGGAUAAUAUUUUGAACCGCAUGGUUCAAAAGUGAAAGACGGUCUUGCUGUCACUUAUAGAUGGAUCCGCGCUGCAUUAGCUAGUUGGUAAGGUAACGGCUUACCAAGGCAACGAUGCAUAGCCGACCUGAGAGGGUGAUCGGCCACACUGGAACUGAGACACGGUCCAGACUCCUACGGGAGGCAGCAGUAGGGAAUCUUCCGCAAAGGGCGAAAGCCUGACGGAGCAACGCCGCGUGAGUGAUGAAGGUCUUCGGAUCGUAAAACUCUGUUAUUAGGGAAGAACAUAUGUGUAAGUAACUGUGCACAUCUUGACGGUACCUAAUCAGAAAGCCACGGCUAACUACGCG